GCUCUCUGAGCGAAGUGCCAUCGGCGCGGCAAUGAACGGAUGCUAGCCAUGAGCGUUAGCUCGUCGUCCGCUUCGGCGGCGAGUUGAAAGUGUUUAUUUCACGGUCAAAUGCAAAUGAAAAUUUCGAGACGGCCUUAAAAGGGACAGAUUAAGGUUACGUAACCUCGAACUGAUCAAAGACGCGGCACUUUCGUAAAUGAGCACUGAUUCCGAAAAAGAAGGUUUUGGGUGCGCGUUUCUCCGAUAAAAGAUGAAUGGAUAAAUAUCUCCAGACGAGUGACGAAGAGUGCUGAAUUUUAAAGCGUCACGUUUUCACCAAAAAGGUAAAAUUUGAAGUCAAAUAGGCAGAAAGAAGACCAAAUCUUCCACUUUUUGCUUUUUAAAAAGGAAAUUCUAAAAA
Molecule: long non-coding RNA, 400 nt
Organism: Hippocampus zosterae (dwarf seahorse)
Lineage: Eukaryota; Metazoa; Chordata; Actinopteri; Syngnathiformes; Syngnathidae
Exons: 2
Source: RefSeq, a predicted model, not a curated record